This 72-nucleotide transfer RNA is filed under the name Sandaracinaceae bacterium. RNAcentral describes it as "tRNA-Thr". It matches the Rfam family "tRNA". From Rfam's summary of the family: Transfer RNA (tRNA) molecules are approximately 80 nucleotides in length. Their secondary structure includes four short double-helical elements and three loops (D, anti-codon, and T loops). Lineage: Bacteria; Pseudomonadati; Myxococcota; Polyangiales; Sandaracinaceae. The record is from RNAcentral.
GCCACCUUAGCUCAGCGGUAGAGCAACGGUUUCGUAAACCGUAGGUCGCGAGUUCAAUUCUCGCAGGUGGCU